CUGAGUACGACGGAGCACGUGAAAUUCCGUCGGAAUCUGGGAGGACCAUCUCCUAAGGCUAAAUACUCUCUAGUGACCGAUAGUGAACCAGUACCGUGAGGGAAAGGUGAAAAGUACCCCGGAAGGGGAGUGAAAGAGAACUUGAAACCGUGUGCUUACAAGUAGUCAGAGCCCGUUAAUGGGUGAUGGCGUGCCUUUUGUAGAAUGAACCGGCGAGUUACGAUCUGAUGCAAGGUUAAGCAGAAAAUGUGGAGCCGUAGCGAAAGCGAGUCUGAAUAGGGCGAAUGAGUAUUUGGUCGUAGACCCGAAACCAGGUGAUCUACCCUUGGUCAGGUUGAAGUUCAGGUAACACUGAAUGGAGGACCGAACCGACUUACGUUGAAAAGUGAGCGGAUGAACUGAGGGUAGCGGAGAAAUUCCAAUCGAACUUGGAGAUAGCUGGUUCUCUCCGAAAUAGCUUUAGGGCUAGCCUCAAGUGAUGAUUAUUGGAGGUAGAGCACUGUUUGGACGAGGGGCCCCUCUCGGGUUACCGAAUUCAGACAAACUCCGAAUGCCAAAUAAUUUAACUUGGGAGUCAGAAUGUGGGUGAUAAGGUCCAUAUUCGAAAGGGAAACAGCCCAGACCACCAGCUAAGGUCCCAAAAUAUAUGUUAAGUGGAAAAGGAUGUGGCGUUGCCCAGACAACUAGGAUGUUGGCUUAGAAGCAGCCAUCAUUUAAAGAGUGCGUAAUAGCUCACUAGUCGAGUGACACUGCGCCGAAAAUGUACCGGGGCUAAACAUAUUACCGAAGCUGUGGAUUGUCCUUUGGACAAUGGUAGGAGAGCGUUCUAAGGGCGUUGAAGCAUGAUCGCAAGGACAUGUGGAGCGCUUAGAAG
This 874-nucleotide ribosomal RNA is filed under the name Staphylococcus pseudintermedius. Its description in RNAcentral is "partial 23S ribosomal RNA". It matches the Rfam family "Bacterial large subunit ribosomal RNA", at positions 408 to 1288 of the family's 2925-position model. The record is from RNAcentral. Lineage: Bacteria; Bacillati; Bacillota; Bacilli; Caryophanales; Staphylococcaceae.